This 29-nucleotide small RNA is filed under the name Bombyx mori (domestic silkworm). RNAcentral's name for it is "ovarian small RNA-36098". Lineage: Eukaryota; Metazoa; Arthropoda; Insecta; Lepidoptera; Bombycidae. The record is from RNAcentral.
UGUUCGAACAAUCGAUCUCUUUCUGGACC